This 468-nucleotide ribosomal RNA is filed under the name uncultured bacterium. Its description in RNAcentral is "partial 16S ribosomal RNA". It matches the Rfam family "Bacterial small subunit ribosomal RNA", at positions 28 to 507 of the family's 1533-position model. The record is from RNAcentral.
GACGAACGCUGGCGGCGUGCUUAACACAUGCAAGUCGAACGGAAAGGCCCUGCUUUUGUGGGGUGCUCGAGUGGCGAACGGGUGAGUAACACGUGAGUAACCUGCCCUUGACUUUGGGAUAACUUCAGGAAACUGGGGCUAAUACCGGAUAGGAGCUCCUGCUGCAUGGUGGGGGUGGGAAAGUUUCGGCGGUUGGGGAUGGACUCGCGGCGUAUCAGCUUGUUGGGGGGGUAGUGGCUUACCAAGGCCUGGACGGGUAGCCGGCCUGCGAGGGUGACCGGCUACAUUGGGACUGAGAUACGGCCCAGACUCCUACGGGAGGCAGCAGUGGGGAAUAGUGCACAAUGGGCGGAAGCCUGAUGCAGCACCGCCGCGUGCGGGAUGACGGCCUUCGGGUUGUAAACCGCUUUCGCCUGUGACGAAGCGUGAGUGACGGUAAUGGGUAAAGAAGCACCGGCUAACUACGUG